Molecule: ribosomal RNA, 497 nt
Filed under: uncultured bacterium
Lineage: Bacteria
Description: partial 16S ribosomal RNA
Rfam family: Bacterial small subunit ribosomal RNA
Source: RNAcentral
GAUGAACGCUGGCGGCGUGCCUAAUACAUGCAAGUCGAGCGAACAGACGAGGAGCUUGCUCCUCUGACGUUAGCGGCGGACGGGUGAGUAACACGUUGAUAACCUACCUAUAAGACUGGGAUAACUUCGGGAAACCGGAGCUAAUACCGGAUAAUAUAUUGAACCGCAUGGUUCAAUAGUGAAAGACGGUUUUGCUGUCACUUAUAGAUGGAUCCGCGCCGCAUUAGCUAGUUGGUAAGGUAACGGCUUACCAAGGCAACGAUGCGUAGCCGACCUGAGAGAGUGAUAGGCCACACUGGAACUGAGACAGGGACCAGACUCCGACGGGAGGCAGCAGUAGGGAAUCUGCCGCAAUGGGCGAAAGCCUGACGGAGAAACGCCGCGUGAGUGAUGAAGGUAUUCGGAUCGUAAAAAUCUGUUAUUAGGGAAGAACAAAUGUGUAAGUAACUAUGCACGUCUUGACGGUACCUAAUCAGAAAGACACGGCUAACUACGUG